This 329-nucleotide unclassified non-coding RNA is filed under the name soil metagenome. RNAcentral describes it as "partial contains 5.8S ribosomal RNA, internal transcribed spacer 2, and large subunit ribosomal RNA". The stretch from base 1 to 120 matches the Rfam family "5.8S ribosomal RNA", at positions 35 to 154 of the family's 154-position model. The record is from RNAcentral.
GAUGAAGAACGCAGCGAAAUGCGAUAAUUAAUGUGAAUUGCAGAAUUUAGUGAAUCAUCGAAUCUUUGAACGCACAUUGCGCCCCUUGGUAUUCCGGGGGGCAUGCCUGUUCGAGCGUCAUUUCAACCCUCAAGCUCUGCUUGGUCUUGGGCCGCGCCGGCAACGGCGGGCCUCAGAAACAGUGGCGGCGCCAUCUGGUCCCUCAGCGUAGUAAUUCUUCUCGCUGCUGGGCCCCGGUGGCCGCUUGCCAGCAACCCCAAACUUUCUAUGGUUGACCUCGGAUCAGGUAGGGAUACCCGCUGAACUUAAGCAUAUCAAUAAGCGGAGGA